RNAcentral lists this ribosomal RNA (225 nucleotides) under uncultured bacterium. RNAcentral describes it as "partial 16S ribosomal RNA". It matches the Rfam family "Bacterial small subunit ribosomal RNA", at positions 28 to 253 of the family's 1533-position model. The record is from RNAcentral.
GACGAACGCUGGCGGCGUGCUUAACACAUGCAAGUCGAGCGGUAAGGCCCUUUCGGGGGUACGACGAGCGGCGAACGGGUGAGUAACACGUGAGUGACCUGCCCUCAGCUCUGGGAUAAGCCUGGGAAACCGGGUCUAAUACCGGAUAUGACUCCAUGACGCAUGUUGUGGGGUGGAAAGCCUUGUGCGGCUGAGGAUGGGCCCGCGGCCUAUCAGCUUGUUGGG